Molecule: ribosomal RNA, 468 nt
Filed under: uncultured bacterium
Lineage: Bacteria
Description: partial 16S ribosomal RNA
Rfam family: Bacterial small subunit ribosomal RNA
Source: RNAcentral
GACGAACGCUGGCGGCGUGCUUAACACAUGCAAGUCGAACGGAAGGGCCCUGCUUUUGUGGGGUGCUCGAGUGGCGAACGGGUGAGUAACACGUGAGUAACCUGCCCUUGACUUUGGGAUAACUUCAGGAAACUGGGGCUAAUACCGGAUAGGAGCUCCUGCUGCAUGGUGGGGGGUGGAAAGUUUCGGCGGUUGGGGAUGGACUCGCGGCUUAUCAGCUUGUUGGUGGGGUAGUGGCUUACCAAGGCUUUGACGGGUAGCCGGCCUGAGAGGGUGACCGGCCACAUUGGGACUGAGAUACGGCCCAGACUCCUACGGGAGGCAGCAGUGGGGAAUAUUGCACAAUGGGCGGAAGCCUGAUGCAGCAACGCCGCGUGCGGGAUGCCGGCCUUCGGGUUGUAACCCGAUUUCGCCUGUGACGAAGCGUGAGUGACGGUAAUGGGUAAAGAAGCACCGGCUAACUACGUG